AUUGAACGCUGGCGGUAUGCUUAACACAUGCAAGUCGAACGAGUAGCUACUUCGGUAGCGAGAGUGGCGGACGGGUGAGUAACGCGUAGGAAUCUGCCUGUUAGUGGGGGACAACGUGGGGAAACUCACGCUAAUACCGCAUACGCCCUACGGGGAAGGAGGGGAGUCUUCGGACCUUUCGCUAACAGAUGAGCCUGCGUUAGAUUAGCUAGUUGGUGGGGUAAAGGCCUACCAAGGCGACGAUCUAUAGCUGUUCUGAGAGGAAGAUCAGCCACACUGGGACUGAGACACGGCCCAGACUCCUACGGGAGGCAGCAGUGGGGGAAUAUUGGACAAUGGGCGCAAGCCUGAUCCAGCAAUACGCGUGUGUGAAGAAGGCCCUAGGGUUGUAAAGCACUUUCAAU
Molecule: ribosomal RNA, 404 nt
Filed under: uncultured bacterium
Lineage: Bacteria
Description: bacterial SSU rRNA
Rfam family: Bacterial small subunit ribosomal RNA
Source: RNAcentral